UGCCUUAUGGUGUAAUGGUGAGCACAUUGGUCUCUAAAACCGAGAGAGUGAGUUCGAAUCUCACUGGGGCUACAA
This 75-nucleotide transfer RNA is filed under the name Crassvirales sp. Its description in RNAcentral is "tRNA-OTHER". It matches the Rfam family "tRNA". Rfam says of the family: Transfer RNA (tRNA) molecules are approximately 80 nucleotides in length. Lineage: Duplodnaviria; Heunggongvirae; Uroviricota; Caudoviricetes; Crassvirales. The record is from RNAcentral.